This 21-nucleotide non-coding RNA is filed under the name Caenorhabditis elegans. The record is from RNAcentral. Lineage: Eukaryota; Metazoa; Nematoda; Chromadorea; Rhabditida; Rhabditidae.
UUUUCGGGAAAAUUCGAAAGA